GACGAACGCUGGCGGCGUGCCUAAUACAUGCAAGUUGAGCGCUGAAGGUUGGUACUUGUACCCACUGGAUGAGCAGCGAACGGGUGAGUAACGCGUGGGGAAUCUGCCUUUUAGCGGGGGACAACAUUUGGAAACGAAUGCUAAUACCGCAUAAAAACUUUAAACACAAGUUUUAAGUUUGAAAGAUGCAAUUGCAUCACUCAAAGAUGAUCCCGCGUUGUAUUAGCUAGUUGGUGAGGUAAAGGCUCACCAGGGCGAUGAUACAUAGCCGACCUGAGAGGGUGAUCGGACACAAUGGGACUGAGACACGGCCCAAAAUCCUAAGGGAGGCAGCAGUAGGGAAUCUUCGGCAAUGGACGAAAGUCUGACCGAGCAACGCCGCGUGAGUGAAGAAGGUUUUCGGAUCGUAAAACUCUGUUGGUAGAGAAGAAAGUUGGUGAGAGUGGAAAGCUCAUCAAGUGACGGUAACUACACAGAAAGGGACGGCUAACUACGUG
Molecule: ribosomal RNA, 497 nt
Filed under: uncultured bacterium
Lineage: Bacteria
Description: partial 16S ribosomal RNA
Rfam family: Bacterial small subunit ribosomal RNA
Source: RNAcentral